CGUUAGCGGCGGACGGGUGAGUAACACGUGGGUAACCUACCUAUAAGACUGGGAUAACUUCGGGAAACCGGAGCUAAUACCGGAUAAUAUUUCGAACCGCAUGGUUCGAUAGUGAAAGAUGGUUUUGCUAUCACUUAUAGAUGGACCCGCGCCGUAUUAGCUAGCUGGUAAGGUAACGGCUUACCAAGGCGACGAUACGUAGCCGACCUGAGAGGGUGAUCGGCCACACUGGAACUGAGACACGGUCCAGACUCCUACGGGAGGCAGCAGCA
Molecule: ribosomal RNA, 272 nt
Filed under: uncultured Staphylococcus sp.
Lineage: Bacteria; Bacillati; Bacillota; Bacilli; Caryophanales; Staphylococcaceae
Description: partial 16S ribosomal RNA
Rfam family: Bacterial small subunit ribosomal RNA
Source: RNAcentral